CAGCCGAAAGGCUGACUAAUACCGGAUACGGUUUUUUAGGCUUCGGUCUUUUAAAUUAAAGGUGACCUCUUCAUGAAAGUUGCCGUUCAUAGAUGGGCCCGCGUACCAUUAGCUUGUUGGUGGUAAUGGCCUACCAAGGCGACGAUGGUUAGCUGGUCUGAGAGGAUGGUCAGCCACACUGGAACUGGAACACGGUCCAGACUCCUACGGGAGGCAGCAGUGAGGAAUUUUGCGCAAUGGGGGAAACCCUGACGCAGCAACGCCGCGUGAGCGAAGAAGGCCUUCGGGUCGUAAAGCUCUGUCAAGUGGGAAAAAAAUCUUUUGAUCAAUAGUCAAAAGACUUGAUGGUACCACUGGAGGAAGCACCGGCUAACUCCGUGCCAGCAGCCGCGGUAAUACGGAGGGUGCAAGCGUUGUUCGGAUUUACUGGGCGUAAAGAGCGUGUAGGCGGUUUAGCAAGUCAGAUGUGAAAGCCCUGGGCUCAACCCGGGAAGUGCAUUUGAAACUGCUUCACUAGAGUAUGGGAGAGGAGAUUGGAAUUCCUGGUGUAGAGGUGAAAUUCGUAGAUAUCAGGAGGAACACCCGUGGCGAAGGCGAUUCUCUGGACCAAUACUGACGCUGAGACGCGAAAGCGUGGGGAGCAAACAGGAUUAGAUACCCUGGUUGUCCACGCCGUAAACGAUGAGAACUAGGUGUAGUGGGUAUUGACCCCUGCUGUGCCGAAGUUAACGCAUUAAGUUCUCCGCCUGGGGAGUACGGCCGCAAGGCUAAAACUCAAAGGAAUUGACGGGGGCCCGCACAAGCGGUGGAGCAUGUGGUUUAAUUCGACGCAACGCGAAGAACCUUACCUGGGUUUGACAUCCUCUGACCGUCUGGGAAACCAGAUUUUUCCGGCUGCCGGAACAGAGUGACAGGUGCUGCAUGGCUGUCGUCAGCUCGUGUCGUGAGAUGUUGGGUUAAGUCCCGCAACGAGCGUAACCCUUGUCUUUAGUUGCCAUUAUUAAGUUAGGCACUCUAAAGAGACUGCCUCGGUUAACGGGGAGGAAGGUGGGGAUGACGUCAAGUCCUCAUGGCCUUUAUAUCCAGGGCUACACACGUGCUACAAUGGGCUGUACAAAGGGUUGCUAACCCGCGAGGGUGCGCUAAUCCCAAAAAGCAGUUCUCAGUUCGGAUUGAAGUCUGCAACUCGACUUCAUGAAGGUGGAAUCGCUAGUAAUCGUGGAUCAGCAUGCCACGGUGAAUACGUUCCCGGGCCUUGUACACACCGCCCGUCACACCACGAAAGUCGACUGUACCAGAAGUUGCUGGGCUAACCUUUUCGGAGGAGGCAGGUACCUAAGGUACGGCCGGUAAUUGGGGUGAAGUCGUAACAAGGUA
Molecule: ribosomal RNA, 1377 nt
Filed under: metagenome
Description: bacterial SSU rRNA
Rfam family: Bacterial small subunit ribosomal RNA
Source: RNAcentral